AUAGUUUUGAAAAUGCGGAAUCAUCUUCGGAAAUUGAUCGACUGAAUAAUUCAAAAAGGUGAGUGGCCCUCUCAGUCAGAAUUACAAUCUCAGUAAAUAUGCAGAAUCGGAGAGAGAAAGCAAGCUGAACUUUAAUGAUCCAUCAACAGAGCAGUCGAAACUUUCAGAGUGCAUGGAGGGAUUGAAAAAUAUUCACUUCUAUUCUCAUAAUGAUGAUGUUCUCAGUGCAUCUUUGAAACUGGGUCUACAAAAAUGUAUGCAACAAAAGUGUUGCAAAAAUCUUAUUGAAAAAGGUGUUGAAGAGGAGAGCUCAACAUUAAACUUACUGGGAAAUCUAGCUUUUUCUGACACUGGGCUACGCAAACUACCUCUUUCGUCGCUAAAAGGUGCUACUGAUUUCAUUAUUUCCAGUGCAACUGAAAGUCAAGGCAUAGAGAAGAAGAAUAUGCCAACCGAAAAUCGGCAAAGCUAUGCCAAAGAAGGGUUCUCUCACGCUUUAAAGUCGAAUUUCCAACCUUACCGAACUGUGUCAGUUUGUGAUUUGAGUGAUACUAAUUUUAAAGCGUUAAAUGUUGAUAUCAACAACCUCAGCAAGAAUCAAAUUAAUUUAUCCACAAUUUACUAUGAUGAUGCAAAUGAGUCUCAUUUUAGGAAUAGUGCCUCUACUAAUUUGAAAAGUUCAAAUAUUGAUCGUGAAAAAGUUAUCCCUCAAUUGUACAUGGAAGUUUCUCAUGAAACAGUAAAUUUUGGAGUAGAUAAUGACUUAAAAGAUAAAGAAGUAAAAAUCCUCACCAAAUCAAAGUCCUCUGAAGUCGAUUGUGUUUCAUUGCACAAGCAAGAGAGGGGAAAGGCAGAUGAAUUUUCCGACUCUGAAAUAUUUUACGAAAGUUCCUCAGUGAUAAUCGAUGAAAGCGAAUCGGUCGGCAAUAUUUCAGAACAAACUGAGUCCUUAAAUGAACAAUUGGUUUCAACCUCUGAUACUUACAACGUAGAAUUUCAAAAAGAUUUGAUAUUUAUUGCCACUGAAACUUCUACAGAAAUUAAGAAUACUGAAGGUACAGUUUUGGCUGUUGACAGAGAGGACAUAAGCAGCCAUAACGGAACCAAAUUUGGAGUGAAUCAGAUUAGAUCUAAAGCACAUUCUGACUCUGAACCAUCAAACUCUGUCAAUAAUUACAGAAAGAAUUCAGUUUCUGACGAUUCUGGUAAAGAUUAUCAACCAAUUGAGGAAAGUAGUCCAAUAAAAAUGACAAAACCUAAGGAGAAUAUGCGUAGCAAAAAGCUUACCUCUAAUAUCCCCAGACCAAAUUUUUUAAUUCGUAAAGUGGUAGGAAGGUCAGGUGCAACAUCAACCACCGAAUCAAACAGGCUAAAUGUGGAACCCGUUGCAAAAGGUAGUGGGACCAGAAGUAAAGUACCCAACUUUACCAUUAAAUCUAAAAAAAAGUCAAAGCUCUUUUUUCCUAAAGUCGAAAGAAGAUCCUCACCUAAUCCUAUGUCUUCCAAACCUAUGAAAAUUGCGGUAAAGGAGAUUUCAAUGCCCUCGUUAACAAUCACUGAACCAUCCAGCUUCGUUCCAUCGGGUGAAUUCGAAACUGAAACAUCUUUAAAUUUAGACCGAAAAAAAUCUUCCUCUCCAUUCAGUGAUGCACCUAUAAAAGAGAUUCACAAUCCAAACUCUAAAAUAUGUAAGGUAAAACAUUAUGAAACCAAAAAUGUAGAAAUCGAUCCCACUAUCGAUUGCAGAGUUGAAUCCGAUUUGAGGGCACAUGAAACAACUGUCUGUUCUAAGAUUGUGAGCGUGGAGCCUGCUGACGUGGAUUGUGAUGAUGCCAACCCUCAUGCUAUGGCUGCCUUAGAGAAAGAGGCCCCGAUUGCUGUCAGUGUCUCAGUAAAUUCUGAAGAAAAUGCUCUAAACAAGGAAGUAAACUCAUUUAAUUCGAUAAUAAAAAAUGAGGACUGCUCCUGCACCAAUAAUGAAAUAAGUGCUCUUAUGUGUAAGUCCGGUUCAACAGAAACGCAUGCAGGAAUCGAGUCAGUUAAUCUGGAUGAUGGUAUAGUUUUUCCACUUAAAUCAAUGGUGAAAAAUCGAGCGGAGAUUAUUCAACUCUUGGAGGGAAAACUUCCAAACAAUCAGGCUUUGCACGGAUUUAUCCAGACGUUAUUUUUAUCCACAGCAGAGGAAGAUCAAAGCAAAGUAAAGCUUGUCAAGAAACUUUCUGAUGAAACGAGCGGAAAAGGCCUUGAGCUGAACAUUGCAGAUACACGCUUGUCAAAGCAUAAGAUUGAAUCUUUUCCAGCUGCAUCAAGUCAAGACUCGGGAGUGCGUGGAUGUGAUACAAACUCUACAAAAGACACUCAGCACUAUUUAUUCGGCUCUGAUGAAAUAGAUAUCUUCCGGAACGCACGUAGAUUACUGGCUGAAGGGGAAGUUUCAAAUUUUGAGCAAGCAAAAUUGGUUGUCCAUUUGCUGGAACUGAAUUUUGACAAAGAUCUUUGUCUGUCUGCAGCCAAAGAAUGCAGCAACAUAGAAAUGGCUCUUGCAUUUUUACAACAAGAAUGCUUGUUAUGUGCAAGCAUUUAUCCUGCCAACCAAGUAAGAAAACUAUUUUGUUAUCAAUUUGUCAAAUUUCAUCAACAGAUGCAGGUAAUCCCUUUACAAAACUCAACCCAGGAGACGUUAAUUAAAAGAAAUAAUUCGCAUCGGUAA
This 2710-nucleotide long non-coding RNA is filed under the name Bemisia tabaci. RNAcentral describes it as "lncRNA ENSSSA1UGG009054". Lineage: Eukaryota; Metazoa; Arthropoda; Insecta; Hemiptera; Aleyrodidae. The record is from RNAcentral.